This 208-nucleotide ribosomal RNA is filed under the name uncultured bacterium. RNAcentral describes it as "partial 16S ribosomal RNA". It matches the Rfam family "Bacterial small subunit ribosomal RNA", at positions 568 to 774 of the family's 1533-position model. The record is from RNAcentral.
CGCGUAGGCGGCCAGGCACGUCUGGUGUGAAAACGCUACUGCUCAACAGAGCGAUUGCGCUGGAUACGGCUUGGCUAGAGUCCGGGAGAGGUGAGUGGAAUUCCUGGUGUAGCGGUGGAAUGCGUAGAUAUCAGGAAGAACACCGGUGGCGAAGGCGGCUCACUGGCCCGGCACUGACGCUGAGGCGCGAAAGCGUGGGGAGCAAACG